RNAcentral lists this ribosomal RNA (900 nucleotides) under uncultured bacterium. RNAcentral's name for it is "bacterial SSU rRNA". It matches the Rfam family "Bacterial small subunit ribosomal RNA", at positions 96 to 991 of the family's 1533-position model. The record is from RNAcentral.
CGGCGCACGGGUGCGCACCGCGUAUGGAACCUGCCUUUUGCAGGGGAAUAGCCCAGGGAAACUUGGAUUAAUGCCCCGUAGUACCAUUUUGCGGCAUUGCAGAAUGGUUAAAGCCUUCGGGCGGCAAGAGAUGGCCAUGCGUCCCAUUAGCUAGAUGGUAAGGUAACGGCUUACCAUGGCUACGAUGGGUAGGGGCCCUGAGAGGGGGAUCCCCCACACUGGUACUGAGACACGGACCAGACUCCUACGGGAGGCAGCAGUGAGGAAUAUUGGACAAUGGAGGAGACUCUGAUCCAGCCAUGCCGCGUGCAGGAAGACGGCCCUAUGGGUUGUAAACUGCUUUUAUACGGGAAGAAAAACAGCUACGUGUAGUUGACUGACGGUACCGUAAGAAUAAGGACCGGCUAACUCCGUGCCAGCAGCCGCGGUAAUACGGAGGGUCCGAGCGUUAUCCGGAAUUAUUGGGUUUAAAGGGUCCGUAGGCGGGCCAUUAAGUCAGGGGUGAAAGUCUGCGGCUCAACCGUAGAAUUGCCUUUGAUACUGGUGGUCUUGAGUUAUGGUGAAGUGGCUGGAAUAUGUAGUGUAGCGGUGAAAUGCAUAGAUAUUACAUAGAACACCGAUUGCGAAGGCAGGUCACUAACCAUAUACUGACGCUGAUGGACGAAAGCGUGGGGAGCGAACAGGAUUAGAUACCCUGGUAGUCCACGCCGUAAACGAUGGGUACUAGCUGUCCGGGUCCUUGAGACCUGGGCGGCCAAGCGAAAGUGAUAAGUAUCCCACCUGGGGAGUACGUUCGCAAGAAUGAAAACUCAAAGGAAUUGACGGGGGCCCGCACAAGCGGUGGAGCAUGUGGUUUAAUUCGAUGAUACGCGAGGAACCUUACCAGGGCUUAAAUGCAUA